GACGAACGCUGGCGGCGUGCUUAACACAUGCAAGUCGAACGGAGUGGCGAACGGGUGAGUAACACGUGGGUGAUCUGCCUUUCACUUCGGGAAAAGCUUGGGAAACUUGGUCUAAUACCCGAUAGUGCAUGCUGAGCUCGCGGCCUAUCGGCUUGUUGGUGGGGUAAUGGCCUACCAAGGCGUCGACGGGUAGCCGGCCUGAGAGGGUGUACGGCGACAUGGGGACUAAGGUAGGGCCCAGACUCGUACGGGGGGCAGCGGGGGCGAAUAUGGUACAAUGAGGGGAAGCCUGAUGCAGCGACGCGGGGGGGGGGAUGAAGGCCUGCGGGUUGUGAACGCCUUUAGACAGGGACGCGGUACCUGUAGAAGAAGCACCGGCUAACUACGUGCCAGCAGCCGCGGUAAUAC
Molecule: ribosomal RNA, 408 nt
Filed under: uncultured bacterium
Lineage: Bacteria
Description: partial 16S ribosomal RNA
Rfam family: Bacterial small subunit ribosomal RNA
Source: RNAcentral